UACAGGGGGGGCAAGCGUUGUUCGGAAUUACUGGGCGUAAAGGGUUCGUAGGUGGCUACCUAAGUCAGACGUGAAAUCUCCCAGCUUAACUGGGAGGGGUUAUGCCAGACUGCCAUUCUAGAGUGCGAGAGAGGAACGUGGAAUUCCGGGUGUAGUGGUGAAAUGCGUAGAGAUCCGGAGGAACCCCAGAGGCGAAGGCGGCGUUCUGGCUCGCAACUGACGCUCAGACACGACAGCAUGGGGAGCGAACGGG
RNAcentral lists this ribosomal RNA (253 nucleotides) under uncultured bacterium. RNAcentral's name for it is "partial 16S ribosomal RNA". It matches the Rfam family "Bacterial small subunit ribosomal RNA", at positions 524 to 776 of the family's 1533-position model. The record is from RNAcentral.